GACAGCAGUAGCCACGGGAAUACAGAGGGUGCGAGCGUUAAUCGGAUUUACUGGGCGUAAAGCGUGCGUAGGCGGCUUUUUAAGUCGGAUGUGAAAUCCCUGAGCUUAACUUAGGAAUUGCAUUCGAUACUGGGAAGCUAGAGUAUGGGAGAGGAUGGUAGAAUUCCAGGUGUAGCGGUGAAAUGCGUAGAGAUCUGGAGGAAUACCGAUGGCGAAGGCAGCCAUCUGGCCUAAUACUGACGCUGAGGUACGAAAGCAUGGGGAGCAAACAGGAUUAGAUACCCCAGUAGUCCCUGUCUCUUAUAC
Molecule: ribosomal RNA, 306 nt
Filed under: uncultured bacterium
Lineage: Bacteria
Description: partial 16S ribosomal RNA
Rfam family: Bacterial small subunit ribosomal RNA
Source: RNAcentral